This 424-nucleotide ribosomal RNA is filed under the name uncultured Shigella sp. RNAcentral's name for it is "bacterial SSU rRNA". It matches the Rfam family "Bacterial small subunit ribosomal RNA", at positions 338 to 777 of the family's 1533-position model. Lineage: Bacteria; Pseudomonadati; Pseudomonadota; Gammaproteobacteria; Enterobacterales; Enterobacteriaceae. The record is from RNAcentral.
CCUACGGGAGGCUGCAGUGGGGAAUAUUGGGCAAUGGACGCAAGUCUGACCCAGCAACGCCGCGUGAAGGAAGAAGGCUUUCGGGUUGUAAACUUCUUUUGUCAGGGAAGAGCAGAAGACGGUACCUGACGAAUAAGCCACGGCUAACUACGUGCCAGCAGCCGCGGUAAUACGUAGGUGGCAAGCGUUGUCCGGAUUUACUGGGUGUAAAGGGCGUGCAGCCGGGCCGGCAAGUCAGAUGUGAAAUCCACGAGCUUAACUCGUGAACUGCAUUUGAAACUGUUGGUCUUGAGUAUCGGAGAGGUAAUCGGAAUUCCUUGUGUAGCGGUGAAAUGCGUAGAUAUAAGGAAGAACACCAGUGGCGAAGGCGGAUUACUGGACGACAACUGACGGUGAGGCGCGAAAGCGUGGGGAGCAAACAGGA